Molecule: unclassified non-coding RNA, 222 nt
Filed under: Hevea brasiliensis (rubber tree)
Lineage: Eukaryota; Viridiplantae; Streptophyta; Magnoliopsida; Malpighiales; Euphorbiaceae
Source: RNAcentral
GUUGUGUCCAGAUAUGUGCCCUGGUAUGGCUCUCAAUUGCUCAGUCUAGAAGGAGUCUCAUAAUAGAAUGACGUCCAAUUGCAUCAUUUGAGUUUAUACGAAUUUUGAUUAAGAUGAGAUUUCCUUGUCAUUUGGCUGUGAGAAGAAACUGUUAUUCUGAAAGCUGAAGGAAUUUGAAUGUGCCUUACCCUGGGCAUUUAAUUUACUAGAAUCAGGAACAAA